Molecule: long non-coding RNA, 2432 nt
Organism: Oncorhynchus keta (chum salmon)
Lineage: Eukaryota; Metazoa; Chordata; Actinopteri; Salmoniformes; Salmonidae
Exons: 4
Source: RefSeq, a predicted model, not a curated record
AGCAGAAAAGAGUAACAAAACUGGCAUUAUCACUUGUUUGUACUCUAUGUUCCCAUCAUGAUCUCACACACCUGCUAAACUGCCACGUAGACUAAGAUUAUAAAAGCUGAGACCCAACUCUUGUUCAUUGGUCUCUUAACUCUGCACCUUUUGAGUGAUUGUUAACCAGCUCCGGAAUUGCAAUUCUUAUCAUUAAACAACUUGUUUUAAAGAAUCUACAGUCUCUCUUCCUUUCUGGUGAUGGGCAUGAGGAUGAGAUGGCUAACUCCGCUUGCUGAUCGUUCCCAGGGAGACCGAGGUUAACUGUGCACAGGGUCUACAAUAGGUGUGGCUCAGGGAGCCCACACACCAAUCCAAGGAGCAGAAGGGACCCGACUCGGAUCCAAUUAGGGAGCGUCAGUGGACGGAUUCACCAUCACGAAUAGACUAAAUAAAGCGUUUGGAGUGUCCGAGGUGGGAUCAGAUGUGGUCAGUCAAUGUGUCAGGCCACUCAGGAACAUCUCAGAGACCUGCUGGAGAAAGUCACUGGAGAAAGUCACUGGUAGCACAACAUCGGAAGAUGGCCUUCAAGCUGCAACACAGAGAAGCCAACCUCACUGCCCUGGUUGCCAUUGGACCUCGCAGGACGGGACCACUUGACUCCCCUGGAAACCAGGUGGGGCCAGCAGACAGUAUGUCAGUACUACAGAGGGCUGGGGGUCAGAGGAUGAUUUGGGUCUUUCUGCCUGGAACAGGACCCUCCUCUACAACACUCUCUCAAGUCCCUGCUUUAGUGAGAACAGUGUGAUUAAACAGCAUAAUUACAAUCCAUCUCUCUUCCACCUUGUGUCGUUGAUAUUUGUUUUGUAUCAUUAUGGUUAUUUUUAUUUUCUAACAAUUUGUAGCACUGCCAACAAUGUCACUGAGCUCUGCUGGUACAUGCUGAGAAAUAUUACAGUCAUGUUGGCAGGACCAAAAAACUAAAUAUUUCACUUAUUGACAGGGCAAUUCUGUGUGUGAGAGAAGAGGUCAGAACACUAUAAGUCAGCUCUGUGUGUUUACAGCCCAAAGCAUUGGCCCUCUGACCUUAGUGUGAUUCAGAGAGUGGUCUGCCAUGAGGUCACUGUCUUUUUCCUUGUUUUUCAGUUCAGUUUCAUGCUAAAAAUAUCACAGACUGAUUGAUGUCUGUGACAGCCAUUCCUUACUCUGAUGUUUACAUGGGUCACCUGAUGAUUGUAAACCUGUGACAAUUCAAUUAAGUUUAUGGAGGGAUUCCAUACAAAACCAGGACAAAAAAAUACAAUGAUUUUAGGGAUUUUCAAAAAAAAUGAAUCCUUACAAUGGUCCUUUGAAAGAAGGAAUAUUAACAUAUAUUAGAAAUUUGUAUCUAAAAGCAUAAUUGAAUAAUAAUUUAUCAAAGUUGGCAUUUUGACCUUAACCAGGCCUCCUUCAAAGAGCGACUGCACUUCCUGAUUUGACCUCAUUUUAGAUUUGGUUCAUUAACAAAUGUUAGCGGACAUGACUAAGUUGAUACGCAAGUUGGUUUCUUGGUAUGGUUUGAUGCGGGGGUCUCAUGUGUGUGUUGGUUCGAAGGAGGCUAGAAUCACUCUAUAGCCAACCAAUUUGAUUGACUGUAAUUGUGUACGUUUAUAGUAUAUCAGUGAUUCUUUGUUUUUUGCCUCAUUACUCACAUAUUGUCAUUUACAUUUUAUGUUGACACCUUUAGGUGGUCGCUUGGAGGAAAAAUAGCCAUCCUUUGGGGCGUGUGUGUGUGGAAAUGUGUGUCGGGGAGAGUUGUGGAUGUGGGUUGUGUUUGAGAUUCAUUAUUCCAUUACCUUUAAAUAUGGCAGAGCUUUAGGCACAGCUUUAGGCACAGCUUUACCCCGGGUUAUGAAAUACGGAGAGAGGGAGGAGAGAAUAAAAUGGAUCAGAAUUAUUUUAGCUGAAAUGACUGCUGACCUCUAACGUAACAGUAAGCUAGGCAAAUCAACAGUGUGCCAGUUAAAGCAGGAUAUGAUUGUUGGCCCUUUAAUCGAGGUCAGCUAUGCAGACUGUUCCAAAUAACUGCCAGCUACAGCAGGGGCAAAUAGUGUGAGGGUAUUUUCAUUUGUGUGAUUACUGUUUUAUUAGGUGAUUGUUAAAUUAUUGAUUGUUGUCGUCGGUAAUGUUAACAAGCGCACCAUCAUGUGAUCAUCACUCUUCCUGUUGCUGUUCCAGAUCAAAGACAACCCCCUCCCUCCUCUGACAGCUCGUCAAAUCCAGGAAGACAAAAGCAAUUCUGAAUAAUUGAGAUUCAUAAAUUGCUCAUGCAUAUUCAUGAACUACUUCCUCUUAAAAUCUGAACCAAGUGAGAUAUUUACCAUGGUGGUAUCUAAAGUUAAUGCAAACCUCCCCCUAAACUUUCCGGUUUCAAUUCUACCGUCAGUCUGCAGUGAUGGAAGGCUCAGAUUACA